GAAGAGCUUUGAAAAUUUUUCAGAUGACUUUUACUACUUAGCCUCAACUUUCAACUAUUAAUUUUUGCAACUAUUAGCUUCUAUAUCAGCAGUGAUUUCAAUAUCUUCAUUUCCUUCAAAUGAGGUGAUUCCUAAAUGCCGAGAUUUUUGGCGAUAAGAGCAGGCAGAAUCCCAAGAUCGAACCAAAAAAUGUUUUGAUAGCAUAACCAACUAGGUCAGUCUUCUUCUUCUGAAUCCAUACUUGGGGUUGUCAUGGCUGUGGCUGAAGGUAGGGAUCUUCUUCUUCUGAAUCCAUACUUGGGGUUUUCAUAGCCGUAGCUGAAGGUAGGGCUUCAAUAACUGCAUCGGCCAGAUCAGUAAUGAAGGUUGGGUUGCAACCGAGAGCAGGGACACGGCCCCAAUUUUCAAUUCCAGAUUCCAGAGCCAAUUCCUUGUACUCCCUAUCAAUCUCGUCGAGUGUCUCUAUGUGCUCA
RNAcentral lists this long non-coding RNA (473 nucleotides) under Actinidia chinensis (golden kiwifruit). Its description in RNAcentral is "long non-coding RNA (ACHI_LNC003974)". The record is from RNAcentral. Lineage: Eukaryota; Viridiplantae; Streptophyta; Magnoliopsida; Ericales; Actinidiaceae.